Pelmatolapia mariae (spotted tilapia) is the source of this 3947-nucleotide long non-coding RNA. RefSeq lists it as uncharacterized. The transcript has 3 exons. Lineage: Eukaryota; Metazoa; Chordata; Actinopteri; Cichliformes; Cichlidae. The record is from RefSeq and is a predicted model, not a curated record.
AUUGUGGGGUGUACAUUGAAACGGUGGCGUUCGUGCGUUGCAGCUGUGACCAUUGAUUAAAUAUGUGUACUGUACACCCAACACGUAAUCUAGGUUAAAGUUGUUUUAAUUCUUCUUGCUGACACCAUCCAUUCAUGCAGCUGCAGCAUGUGUAAGCAUUGAUUCAUAUGUGAUUGGUCACAUAAUUCACAGUCUCAGGGGGCAUUUCAUCGCUGACAGACAAGCUAAUCUGAAAUCCCCCAAUUUACAAAUGAAAAUCCCACCAUCCAAUUGAGCUAAUAGAGGGACUUGAAUGGGAUAAUAAGAUGUGGUGUAAUACUGUGUAAAAAGCCUGUAAUGUUGUGUUGGUGUAAGAGCCUGUGUGACUGGAUGUUUGACUGUUUGCAGUGAUUAUAGGGGCCUCCGGGCCUGGCGACGGCUCCGUGGCUGGGACAGGGAGCUUCUCCCUGGGCAAGGAGAUACGCCUGUCUGCCCCUUCUGCUGGAGCUACAGGGACCAGGAUGUCAUGAGGGAGAGUGCUCCCUGUGAGCUCUCUCUCUCUCUCUCUCUGUUUUGCUUUCUGUCUCUUUCUGUACGUCUCUUUCUCUCUCUCUUCCUCUCGUUCUCGGUCUGUACUAUUGCAGUGCUUGCAGAUGUGCACAAACAAGGGAGGAUUAAAGCAAAACGAAUCUAAACAGACAAAUGGAAUUAGAAUGAUGGGUGUCGGUGGGCUGGUUCACAGUGAUAAACAUAAUGAUGCUCUGUAUGUAUGUGUGUGUGAGUGUGUGUGUGUUCCUGUGUCUGGGGGAUUAUCAGUGGUUAGGUGUGUGGUGUGUAUGGCUGGGUGACUGCUUCUGGGUGUCUUUGUGUGUUUGCCUAUCCGUCUAUGUUUUUGUAAUUAUGUGUGUGUAUAUUUACUCUGUCUAUAGUUGUGUGUUUGAUAAAUUAGUUAUUCCAUAUUGCCUCACAAAAACAAGUCUCUCUGUGCCCUCUGCGUGUGUGUGGGUAUGUUUCUCUGUUUUCCUUUCUGUUAGGGUCAUAUUUCUUUCUCGUCUUCCUCUGUGUUUCUGUUUGUGCAGCGGACACUUUUGCCUGUGUGUGCUUAGUGGUCACCGAACUCAGUACUGACCUGUAACUUGAAUAUCAUAAGGCACUAUUUGCCGGAGUUGAAUAAUGAAGUGUAAAACUGACCACUGCUCUGCUGUUUAUGUGCAGUUGUGUUGUGUUCUUAUGCCAGCAGUCUGUGCGUUUAUGUGGUGUUGAGGUCAGGAGUGUGGAGGAACCAGCAGGGGGGCAGUGAUCAACAGUCUGGGGCUCCCCUGCAGAGGGGCUCUGGGAUUAGGGCUAAACCCUGUCCUGCCAGAUGGGCACAACACAUCCCCACAUCACACAAGCACCAGCACCUUUAGGACUGCUUUUACCCUGCCCCCUUUCUCUGUGGAAACUAAGUGACUUAAACCCGAGGACCUCACAGAAACGCGGCAGAGGAGACGACUGAGAUGAGGCACGCUUCAAAGUGUCAGGAUCACUUACUCUCAUCUGUCUAAUUUUCACAACCCCCGAUCAGACCACACACUCGGUUUGUAAUCCUCCCUAUUUCCUCCCGCGGGCGUUGAGGCCUCAACCGGCAAACUUUGCGCAGGCCGAUGAUGCAGAGGAUGACUCGCAGUUGUUACAGACCGGACAGCAGACCAGGGGAUGAGGGGCGCUGCGCGGCCCGCUGUUAGACAAAAACCAAGAGGGAUUAAUGCAGCGUCUGUUGGUCCCAUAUGCUCCUCAGGACUGCUUUGGUCUUGAUUAAAACUCAUUGUAGGCUGUGUAUGAAGUAUUGAAGUAUUGUGAAGGCCGGACGCCUAAUCCCUCUCAUGACUUGUGCACUUUGAAGACACGAGACUCCAGGGUCAGAAUAACAAGCGGAGAAAAGGAACCUUUCAGCUGCUAUUGGUUAUAUCACUCAGCAUUAAAUGCGAAAGUGACAAGUAUGUUUACUGUUGGUGUGUGUAUAUAUUUAUAUAUAAUUCUUCAUGUCAUGUGCGGACGCCUAAAUGUAAUUGUGGGACUCAUCAUGCAUUUCCAAGAAUGCACAUUUAUUCCGAUUGAGAUUGUAUCUGUCAUAAUGUUGUAGGUUCUUUACCUUAUAAGUGCUCUACACUUUUUUUGUGAUGUGAUGCUGUAUGAUUAAAUUUAACCGGGUUACCAGCCUUUUGGUAGUCUCUGAAGGGAGUCAUCUUCAAACCUUUGCCAUGCUUCUUAUUCUCCAGCCCCAUUUCUUGCACCUUGUCUCGUUCUCUUACAGUUUUUCCCUCCUUGUCUGGCAUUUGAAAGUGACCCUGCAGUCUGAACCCCCUCCCUCCAUCCUCAGCAGACUCUAUGAAGGAGUUGUUGACGCAUCUCAUGAAUAUUCAGUCACCCACUAACCAAAGCUAUUGUUUCCGAGUUCAAUUGCUUCAUUGUUUAUGACCAUAACGAAAUACAUGUAUGUUGCUAAACCUGGCGGUGCACUGCGCGAACUUAGGCUGUAAUUUACUGUUGAAUAACGCCGCAAUCUGCAUGUGUAAUAGGCUAAAUUAAAAGGAGCAUCCAGCAGUGAGAACCCAUAAAUAAUCUGCUGUUUGUGCUUCAACCUUGAAUAAGUUAUACGGCCUGUUAUAUAAUUAAGUCUUUCUAAACUGCAGUUCAACCUCAUAAAACAAACACACACGCACACACACCUAUUUUCUGACCACGCAGGAGUGGAAUCAAAGUCGCUCUUCUCUUUAACGCUUCGAUUAUUUCAAGCAACGCUUUUAAUUAGUGUGAUCCUUUAGCGGAGACUCCAAUGAAAGAGAGAUUAUUGGCAAUGUCAAGGAUGCUAAUUGAAUGUUGGACUUCUAACAAUUAGCCCGCUGCACAACCAUGUCGAGUCAUUACAGAUCCCAUACCCGCUUUGACUUUGUCUGUCGUCUUAAAGAGUAACGUCGGACUUGAAAGUUGGAGCAAUAAAAAGUAAAUAACAACAAACCCUCUUUUAAAAACAGCUUUCUCCUCUUGAGUCCUAAAAUGUAUUGAUUUCUUUUUUCCCUCUAGACAUAACCUCUCCUGUGCACUUAAUUAAACACACCGCGCAUGUGGGAAAAAAAGUUACAGGAAUAUUGUGCGGAGUUUUUCUUGCCCUCUUUUUGAGCCAAUUUCUUACUUUCGUACAACUGCACUGCUAUAAGCACUUCUUAAACUGUAAACCCCACAACAGAGCAAAACAAAAUCAAGUGUUGUAUAUUUUCAUUUAUUUUUUGCUGUAUGUAUCUCUUACUGGUCUAUUUUCAGGGCAGUGAAAGCAAAUUAGCGUUGUUUCUUGAUAUAUGGAUGUCAUAUCAGCGCACUUGUGAGACAUGAAAUAUUAGCCUUCAUAUUAAAGAGCUCAUCCAGGGAUCAGGCGUGGAAAGCCAUGCCGCGCGGGCUUUGAAUAGGACCACGGCUGCCCUGCGCCCCAGAGAAACCCCCGCCGGUAAAAUAUUGGGAUUAACAUCUUUUGGAGUCCGGGAUUAAACACUGCUUUCUCAAACCGCACACUCGCUUUCACUGUCUGAAUUGCACUACCGGAAACAAUGCGGCAUUAAUUCGUUCUUCUUUUUUUUCUUUUGCGAUUAAAUAAAGGGAAAGGAGAGGAUUAAGUUUAUGUGGCGCAUUACCACUACGAACACUGGAUGGCUCUGAGACUCAUCGAAAGACAACACAUGGGCGUUAAUGCGUUGGGAUGUUUUUAAGACGUGAUAGAAAAACUAAUUACGCGUGAGAAAACAGAGUUUGGUCGGCACGCACAAGUGUAGGCUAAUUAUUACUCAGACGGCCAUUAUUGGCUUAAUUAAUGCGAAAGUUCUGAUUUUCCCUCUUUGCCUCAUCACGCACAUAUACCACCGCAGCCUCGGUUGAAAAAAAUAGUACCCACAAAGGUUUUGUUCCAUUUUUAGGGCUUAAAGUCGUAGAAAACG